GGGCUGUUACACUGGGCAAAUUUUCCGUGGAUCUUCAGUCAAACCACGAUUUCCGCUAGCGUGGUUCUCAUUUGUUUCUUGUUAUUGCUGCUGCUGAUGAUGGUGAGUAAUACCGUCGUCCUUUGGUGAAAUCUACCGUAGCUUUGGAAGAUCGUGGACUCGUCAGAAAACCACGGAAAUAUGAGAACCACGCCAGCGGAAAUCGUGGUUUGACUGAAGAUCCACGGAAAAUUUGCCCAGUGGGAUAGCCCCUUAAGAGUGCUGUGCUGUGCUAAACUCCCUAAAAACAAUGUAGACAUCCCGCGUUAACUCAUCAGACAAGUCAAAUCUGUAGCCGUGGGGAGGGUUGACAGAGUGGCCAGCUCCCUCGAGAGUGCCCCAUGGAACUCCAAAUACUGAGCUCUUUGAUGACAAUUCGAAUUAUUGCUGGGGCAUCCCUGGUAAUACUUUAGGAAGGAACUCCUGGACCCCCGGCAAGAGAAGGAUCGAACCAACAGCCUCGGAUCGGACCGUCGAGCUGAGCGCGGCUCGAGGCUUCGGAUAGUUCUCCUUUCGGCAGACCCUUCCACGUCACUCCAUCUCUGAUACGAAUGGCGGGCGGACGGCGCGCCUCCUGUAAUAAUAUUUUCUUGUGCUACUUGGUUCCGGAAGCUUCUGGACGCCUGGCAAGCUACGUGAAGGAGCACGGGACAGUCAAACACCCUUGGGUACGUGAAAGAAUGAAGGGCGGCAGGCAGCAGGGAGGACAGCGAUCAGGACUAUGACUGCAGCUAAUUCUUACUUUGGAGUCAGGUGCUGGGGUUGAGAGAUGAGGCCGUGGCAUUGUAAUCACAAUCAUAAAGUAGGUACAUGGUAUCGUUGUAUGAGAGAGAGAGAGAGAGAAUCUGUUCUGACAGGUUCACAGCCAUGGGGGGCUUUAGGGGGGGGGGGACUUGGUUCCUCCAAAAAACUCUCAAGCCCCCCUGGAAGUUCUUUUGCAUAUAUGAAUGCUUGAAUGUAUACAUAGGAAGAAAGUAUAAACAAGUAAAGCUUUCCUUUGACAAGAGAUCCCCCCCCC
Molecule: long non-coding RNA, 1057 nt
Organism: Eriocheir sinensis (Chinese mitten crab)
Lineage: Eukaryota; Metazoa; Arthropoda; Malacostraca; Decapoda; Varunidae
Exons: 3
Source: RefSeq, a predicted model, not a curated record